CGCCGCUCCCGUUAGUACCGCCGCCGCUAUGAGUAGCGUUGUGACCGGGAGGAGGCCCGUGGGGAGCGCUGUUCACGCCGAUCCCGGCCCCGCCGAGGCUGCUGCUCAGGAACCUAAAAAAGCAAAUCCUCCGGCUGGGGGAAAUCAACACGUGAACAAUCCGGGGCGAUCUGCAAAGGUAGCUGGCUGAAGGACUGGCAGAGCGUCCGCGGAGCUGCUACACGCAGAGGGACCGGCUCGGGCUCUGCUCUGCCCGCUGCUUCUCCUCUGCCACCAUCACAAGGAUCAAGUGCGUUACUCUUCCACCUCCUCCGCCUCCUCGUCCAUGCCAGCGGAGUGAUACCAGGACAAGAGCGCUCAAUAAACACAGCCGCAGCAGCUCCAGCUCCUCCAGGCCGUGAGGCAGUCCCGGGGACAAGGUGCAAAAUCCGGCCCGGACCUUUAGCCAGCAGGAACGGACACGACGAUCCCCACCUAAUUCCCCCUCCGGCGCCUACUCACGCUGUUUGUUACCUUGGGCGGAAAAUCAGCUCUGCCAGGACGGAACAAGAAAGGAUCCGAAGGGAAGCUGGCGAGGCAGUCAACUUUUGACCUGGUCGCGUGUGAUAUGUGUGUGUGUGUAAUAUGCGUGCUUGUUUGUGUCCGGUUUCCUUAUUGAGCUUUCAGUGCAAGGCGAAGCUGUGUAUCAUGUUAGCCUAAAUUCUUGCGUAUUACAUUGUCAGAAUCUGUGCAUGGCUCCGCCAAAAGGGAGCAGGCUCUUCGCCUGCCUUGUCUGAUAACCUUUUCCACAUGGAAAAGUAAAGACGGAGCGGAGGAAAAAAAAAAAAGAGGCUGGCUUUAACAUAAACCCUGAUAAGCCUCCCUUCUCCCCCCACCCCAUUUGAAAAUAUUCGUUGUGAAGUGAUUUGUGCUUGCAGUCUUACUCCCUCGCUUGAGAGUAAAUAUAAACUUAUUUUCAAGUUGGUUUAAAGAUAAUCUCUGUAGCGUAACUCCUAUAUAUGUGCAUUGUAUGGUAUUUUCUGUUGACAUUCUGUUAUGUUGUUAAUUCAACUUUAUUUUUUAAAAAAAUUAGGGUGCCAAAGGCUGCCCCCACUUUUUUUUCUAUACAAGAACCCUGAAGAGGUUCAACAGGAAAAAUAAAAAUAACCAUUACUAUGUUGUUUACUGUCUUGUAAAAUUUGUAACAAGAAAAAGAUUAGCGAUUCAAAGAACUUAACAAAGGAAUCAGGGCAAAAAUAAAAUUAAAGAUAUGCUACUUGUCCUCCCCCAUGUAUAUAUAAUAAAAACAAGAGUAAAUAUUUA
Pantherophis guttatus is the source of this 1302-nucleotide long non-coding RNA. RefSeq lists it as uncharacterized. NCBI's taxonomy places the organism in Eukaryota, Metazoa, Chordata, Lepidosauria, Squamata, Colubridae. The record is from RefSeq and is a predicted model, not a curated record.